RNAcentral lists this long non-coding RNA (210 nucleotides) under Elaeis guineensis (African oil palm). RNAcentral's name for it is "long non-coding RNA (EGUI_LNC046212)". Lineage: Eukaryota; Viridiplantae; Streptophyta; Magnoliopsida; Arecales; Arecaceae. The record is from RNAcentral.
UAGAGAAUUUGAUUAACACAAUUUGAGAGAAGAAAGAAAGUGGACCAGCUAAUCAUAAUCCUCUCACUGACUUCAUCAAGUUAGAUCAAACAAGACUAGAUUCAAGCCAAUCCUAGCAUCUAAAUUAGUCAUAUUGAUCAACCUAUGUAGCAUGGGUUAGCACAAAUUAAUGAACAAUCGAAUCGAAAGCUGAUUGAUCACAUUGGCCAG